RNAcentral lists this transfer RNA (35 nucleotides) under Acorus calamus (Eurasian sweet-flag). RNAcentral describes it as "partial tRNA-His". Lineage: Eukaryota; Viridiplantae; Streptophyta; Magnoliopsida; Acorales; Acoraceae. The record is from RNAcentral.
GGGGGCGGAUGUANCCAAGUGGAUUAAGGCAGUGG